UACGAGAGGCCCAAACGUUAUUCGGAAUUACUGGGCUUAAAGAGUUCGUAGGCGGCAUUGCAAGUAGGGUGUGAAAGCCCUCGGCUCAACCGAGGAAUUGCGCUCUAAACUGCAGUGCUCGAGGAAGCUAGAGGUGAGCAGAACAGAUGGUGGAGCGGUGAAAUGCGUUGAUAUCAUCUGGAAUACCGGAGGCGAAGGCGGCUCACUAAAUUGUAACUGACGCUGAGGCACGAAAGCGUGGGGAUCAAACAGG
RNAcentral lists this ribosomal RNA (253 nucleotides) under uncultured bacterium. RNAcentral's name for it is "partial 16S ribosomal RNA". It matches the Rfam family "Bacterial small subunit ribosomal RNA", at positions 524 to 776 of the family's 1533-position model. The record is from RNAcentral.